UAUGCCCAGGACGCUCACGGGCUUUGACUUAGUAGCGUCUGUCUAUGCGUGUGCCAGUCUCUGUCGUGCCGACGCUGCUGUCCGCGCGGCGUAGGUGCAGGCGUGAGCCCGUCCUGCGCCACAUGCUGCAACGGAACGCAGCCCGGACUGCGCGCGAUCGCGCAUACGCAAAGCAGUCUAGAUGGCAGGCUGCCGGCCAGCCACGUGAAGUGCCAGAGGCAUGGAGCACUUUCCUUGUUUCUGAGGGCUUUCCGUGAAUCUGGCUGUAGCUUGCCCAGCGCUACAUAAUGAUUCUCUCUUCACGUGCGGCAGGGGCCUGCGAUGCUUGCGCUCGUCACGGUUGCUGGCUCUAGCUUCUGUAGCUUGAACGUGUUCACGCGGCUCCUUACUGCUACUUAGAGAGGCAAGCAAGUAAGCUCAAAGCGUCCAAAUGGGGACCUGCCAAAGUGCAUGAGAACUU
RNAcentral lists this ribosomal RNA (460 nucleotides) under Dectochilus antucaria. RNAcentral's name for it is "bacterial LSU rRNA". Lineage: Eukaryota; Metazoa; Arthropoda; Insecta; Lepidoptera; Geometridae. The record is from RNAcentral.